GGAGGUGUAAUUCAGGGGUAGAAUGUUUAACUGCAAAUCAAGUGGUUUUCAGUUCAACUGCAAAUACCUCCU
Molecule: transfer RNA, 72 nt
Filed under: Pelodiscus sinensis (Chinese soft-shelled turtle)
Lineage: Eukaryota; Metazoa; Chordata; Testudines; Trionychidae
Rfam family: tRNA
About the family: Transfer RNA (tRNA) molecules are approximately 80 nucleotides in length. Their secondary structure includes four short double-helical elements and three loops (D, anti-codon, and T loops).
Source: Rfam by way of RNAcentral